AGAGUUUGAUCAUGGCUCAGAUUGAACGCUGGCGGCAGGCCUAACACAUGCAAGUCGAGCGGCAGCACAGAGGAACUUGUUCCUUGGGUGGCGAGCGGCGGACGGGUGAGUAAUGCCUGGGAAAUUGCCCGGUAGAGGGGGGAUAACCAUUGGAAACGAUGGCUAAUACCGCAUAACCUCGCAAGAGCAAAGCAGGGGA
Molecule: ribosomal RNA, 199 nt
Filed under: Vibrio cholerae HC-81A2
Lineage: Bacteria; Pseudomonadati; Pseudomonadota; Gammaproteobacteria; Vibrionales; Vibrionaceae
Description: partial 16S ribosomal RNA
Rfam family: Bacterial small subunit ribosomal RNA
Source: RNAcentral